Molecule: ribosomal RNA, 420 nt
Filed under: uncultured bacterium
Lineage: Bacteria
Description: bacterial SSU rRNA
Rfam family: Bacterial small subunit ribosomal RNA
Source: RNAcentral
UUGAUCCUGGCUCAGGAUGAACGCUAGCGGCGUGCCUAACACAUGCAAGUCGAACGUGAGGGGGUACUUGUAUCCCUGAAAGUGGCGGACGGGUGAGUAAGACGUAGGUGACCUGCCUCGAAGUGGGGGAUAACCAUUGGAAACGAUGGCUAAUACCGCAUAAGCUGGUGACGAUGGGAAUGGUUAUCAGGAAAGCUUUAGUGCUUUGAGAGGGGCCUACGGCCGAUUAGCUAGUUGGUGAGGUAAAGGCUCACCAAGGCGAUGAUCGGUAGCUGGUCUGAGAGGACGAUCAGCCACACGGGAACUGAGACACGGUCCCGACUCCUACGGGGGCAGCAGUGAGGAAUAUUCGGGCAAUGGGGGGCAACCCUGACCGAGCAACGCCGCGUGGAGGAUGACGGUUUUCGGAUUGUAAACUCC